GACGAACGCUGGCGGCGUGCCUAAUACAUGCAAGUUGAGCGCUGAAGGUUGGUACUUGUACCAACUGGAUGAGCAGCGAACGGGUGAGUAACGCGUGGGGAAUCUGCCUUUGAGCGGGGGACAACAUUUGGAAACGAAUGCUAAUACCGCAUAAAAACUUUAAACACAAGUUUUAAGUUUGAAAGAUGCAAUUGCAUCACUCAAAGAUGAUCCCGCGUUGUAUUAGCUAGUUGGUGAGGUAAAGGCUCACCAAGGCGAGGAUACAUAGCCGACCUGAGAGGGUGGUUGGCCACAUUGGGACUGAGACCCGGCCCAAACUCCUACGGGAGGCAGCAGUAGGGAAUCUUCGGCAAUGGACGAAAGUCUGACCGAGCAACGCCGCGUGAGGGAAGAAGGUUUUCGGGUCGUAAAACUCUGUUGGUAGGGAAGAACGUUGGUGAGAGUGGAAAGCUCAUCAAGUGACGGUAACUACCCAGAAAGCGACGGCUAACUACGUG
This 497-nucleotide ribosomal RNA is filed under the name uncultured bacterium. RNAcentral describes it as "partial 16S ribosomal RNA". It matches the Rfam family "Bacterial small subunit ribosomal RNA", at positions 28 to 507 of the family's 1533-position model. The record is from RNAcentral.